AUGCUCCAACUGCAAUUAUUGUUGGCGGAGUUCAACCUUCUUCUUUUGCCAAAGCCUGUCCAAGGCACUGUCAGCAUCACCCUGCGAAGAAGCAUCCCAUGAUCAGCAUGUAAGUUUAGCACCAAACAUGCACAGCAAUUAGAAAGUGGAUAUAGAAUAAUGAAUUACUAGGACCCAUGACUGCAUUAGUCAAUAAACCCUAACAUCUCUUGUUCCAAAAGCUACAUCUGUUCCAACCAUUGCAUCACUCCCAACAAUACAGAUCAUAACAUAAUAAUUAAAUGGCAACAAGUCCAAUUAUCCUCCACUGUCAAACAUGAUUUACAAGCUCAAGCACAAUUAAGUGUUUGAUAACCGUGAUAAAAGCAAUAAAAAGAAACUGUUCAUCAAUCUGUGAAAGUGUAUUUCAAAAGUCUGCAUACCAGGCACAUAAUACGAUGACACCAAUGCCAUAAAUUUUUGGAUAAAAGUAAUUACAUUUCGUUUGGGAGGAGCGUAGGGAAGUAAGGCAAAGUUUUUUAAAGUAAGAUACGGUAAAGUAAUGAAAAGGUAUGGAAAAAUAAGGAUUGGUAAUAACUAAUAUUUAAUUUAUAAAAACUUUCCAAACACCCCAAUUUGGUGGAUUAAGAAAUUGAGGGUUUUUGGAGGUUUUAAAAACCCUCAAAAACUUUACUUUCCCCAUAAAACUUCCCUCCCAAACAAGUUCAUAUGUCUUAAUUACAUUAAAAAAACCUUAUCCUACCUCCAAAAACUUGCUCCCAAAUGAAAUGUUAAUGGAAGAUACGAUAAACUAACAAAAAAUGGAAGACACAAUAAAAGGAUUAAGUGCAGUAUUUUCAGGGCUGCUUCUUACAAAACCUUGUCAGAUGAGUAUUCUGAUUAUACAUUUUUCUCUCUCAAGUUAUGUUCUUGGUGAUAAGUCAAUACUAAAAGAUGCUGGGAUUGAAGAUUUGAAGGAUGUGGAAGCAUUCCCACCACCUUCAGAAAUUAAGGAUGCCCCAAGAUACAAAGGGGAUGUUAGUUAUUUCAUCUGUACAAGACCAGGCCGGGGUCCGGUUUUGCUCUCUGAUGAAAGUCAGGCUCUUCUCAGCCCUGAAACUGGGCUCCCUAAAUAAAAGGGGCAUCCGUUGCCCUUUUUCUUUCACUUAUGUUAUCUUGCGGUGUUGAGGCAAACCUCACUUUGAGCCUGAUGAUUGUUUUCUGUAAUUGAAGUUACAGGGAAGCAAUCCUCUGUAACUGUUCCUUACGAACUUGCAGUGAUGCGGCUUUUGUCUUGCAUUUGUAAUUCAUUUUUUUGCUUCAGGGUCCAUUUAGAGUUUACUUACUCGUGAAGAACAGUUCAUUUAAGUUUCUUUCAGCCGCAAGUCUUGAAAUAGCUUAUACAGUGAUUCAAAAAAAAAAUCUGUAUUUCUGUUGCACUGUUCAGUGAAUAAAUUCUUAGUUGUUUGCCUG
Molecule: unclassified non-coding RNA, 1452 nt
Filed under: Hevea brasiliensis (rubber tree)
Lineage: Eukaryota; Viridiplantae; Streptophyta; Magnoliopsida; Malpighiales; Euphorbiaceae
Source: RNAcentral